RNAcentral lists this ribosomal RNA (350 nucleotides) under Enterococcus sp. BL193-5. RNAcentral describes it as "bacterial SSU rRNA". It matches the Rfam family "Bacterial small subunit ribosomal RNA", at positions 1178 to 1526 of the family's 1533-position model. Lineage: Bacteria; Bacillati; Bacillota; Bacilli; Lactobacillales; Enterococcaceae. The record is from RNAcentral.
UUAGNCGUCAAAUCAUCAUGCCCCUUAUGACCUGGGCUACACACGUGCUACAAUGGGAAGUACAACGAGUUGCGAAGUCGCGAGGCUAAGCUAAUCUCUUAAAGCUUCUCUCAGUUCGGAUUGCAGGCUGCAACUCGCCUGCAUGAAGCCGGAAUCGCUAGUAAUCGCGGAUCAGCACGCCGCGGUGAAUACGUUCCCGGGCCUUGUACACACCGCCCGUCACACCACGAGAGUUUGUAACACCCGAAGUCGGUGAGGUAACCUUUUUGGAGCCAGCCGCCUAAGGUGGGAUAGAUGAUUGGGGUGAAGUCGUAACAAGGUAGCCGUAUCGGAAGGUGCGGUUGGAUCAC